GGAUUAGAUACCCUGGUAGUCCAUGCCGUAAACGGUGGGCGCUAGGUGUGAGGGUCUUUCUACGACUUUCGUGCCGUAGCUAACGCAUUAAGCGCCCCGCCUGGGGAGUACGGCCGCAAGGCUAAAACUCAAAGGAAUUGACGGGGGCCCGCACAAGCGGCGGAGCAUGUGGAUUAAUUCGAUGCAACGCGAAGAACCUUACCUGGGCUUGACAUACAUCAGAUCGCUGCAGAGAUGUAGUUUCCCUUUGUGGUUGGUGUACAGGUGGUGCAUGGUUGUCGUCAGCUCGUGCUG
RNAcentral lists this ribosomal RNA (294 nucleotides) under uncultured bacterium. RNAcentral describes it as "partial 16S ribosomal RNA". It matches the Rfam family "Bacterial small subunit ribosomal RNA", at positions 775 to 1067 of the family's 1533-position model. The record is from RNAcentral.